RNAcentral lists this transfer RNA (55 nucleotides) under Kandleria vitulina DSM 20405. It matches the Rfam family "tRNA", at positions 1 to 52 of the family's 71-position model. From Rfam's summary of the family: Transfer RNA (tRNA) molecules are approximately 80 nucleotides in length. Their secondary structure includes four short double-helical elements and three loops (D, anti-codon, and T loops). Further hydrogen bonds mediate the characteristic L-shaped molecular structure. tRNAs have two regions of fundamental functional importance: the anti-codon, which is responsible for specific mRNA codon recognition, and the 3' end, to which the tRNAs corresponding amino acid is attached (by aminoacyl-tRNA synthetases). tRNAs cope with the degeneracy of the genetic code in two manners: having more than one tRNA (with a specific anti-codon) for a particular amino acid; and 'wobble' base-pairing, i.e. permitting non-standard base-pairing at the 3rd anti-codon position. Lineage: Bacteria; Bacillati; Bacillota; Erysipelotrichia; Erysipelotrichales; Coprobacillaceae. The record is from Rfam by way of RNAcentral.
GCCUGUUUAGCUCAGUUGGUUAGAGCAUCUGACUGUUAAUCAGGGGGUCGUAGGU